This is a non-coding RNA of Oikopleura dioica, 46 nucleotides long. The record is from Rfam. NCBI's taxonomy places the organism in Eukaryota, Metazoa, Chordata, Appendicularia, Copelata, Oikopleuridae.
AAACCGGCCCUUUUUAGGGCCACAAAAAAUGAUUUUCAACUGAAUU